Molecule: long non-coding RNA, 1697 nt
Organism: Pistacia vera
Lineage: Eukaryota; Viridiplantae; Streptophyta; Magnoliopsida; Sapindales; Anacardiaceae
Exons: 6
Source: RefSeq, a predicted model, not a curated record
UUUAUCAAACAAAAAUCUUCACUUUCUCCUCCUUCCUCCCUCCAAUAAUGAGACUUUAUUUUCUCUCUAUUCUCUCAUCUCUUUCUUUGUAAAUCAUCUCUUUCGUUAUACGUUGCAGCUUCGUUUUCUCCUUCUCCAAAAUUCUCCAAAUUUCCGCCGCCGUCGUCCUCGUCCUCGUCGUGUUUCCGAGUAGUGUGUCGUGGCGGAUCCACGCGCCGUACGCCGCGAGUGAGCUGAAGUUGGCGUUGCACGACGCUUUGGACUCUACUGGAAUCGAUACAACCUAUGCCCGAGAGGCGAGAGAGGGUUUUUGCUCUCAGAUCAAUAAAUUAUCCAAUAUUGAAAGGCAAAUUAGUAUUAGCAUUAAUAGAUGUGUUGAUUUGGGGAAAACAGCUCUUCAUAUAGCAGCAGAGGAUGACUCCCUGAUAUCACAUUCAUCAGCUCCUCUCCCUGAUAUAACUCAUCUUUGAAAUCAUCACAAGAAAUUUUUGUGGAUAUAGUAUAGAGAGAUAUUUGUUUGAUAAAAAGGCAUUGGAGCUUUCUUAUACCUGAUUUGAUGAUUCAUGUUAGGGUUCUUAGAGAACCAGUGUGAGGAAUCAAAUAGAUCCAAGAGUGCUAUAUCUUCAGUUAGUUUUGACACAGCGCUUGUGCUCUGCUGUUAUGCUAUCGCUUAUAUACUCAGAAAUCCUGAAAAUGCUUCACUUAUGGGACCUUGUAGAUUUUGAUGUGGCGAUAGCAUUCCCUCUUGACCAUGGUCUUCCUAGGGGAUAUCAGAAGCAGAAGAGCAGAGAAUCUGAUCAGCCACACAUUAUGACUCUGCAAAUAUUGUCGGAGGAGAUUUUAAGGAUUUAAAGAGAGCUUUCUGGCCAUUUCAACAUGAUUUCUCCCGGAGUUUAUUCUUAAGGGCAGCACUGCUGCUAGCUGCAUUAGCGAUCAAACAGUGAAGACAGGCAGUUAAACUAUUGCAAACUGAUCUGUGAUUAUAUGAAAACUCUAUGUAGUUUUUAUAAUCUCAACUGAGAUUUCUUUCUCCCCUCCUUCCCCCUUUUGGGCUCUAUUUAUUCUGAUUUCAUUAUUUUUCUAGUGCAGUGGCUUGCAGCUUGCAUCAGCAAAGGCUGCCAAACAUAGGUUAGACCGUGGUGUUUGGACCGGUGUACGCUUUGGAUAUGAGACGUGCAUUAGCUGUUCGGCUUUGGGCACAUUCCCUUCCAGUUUGGAACAAUUGGCAAGGUUGAUCUUUGCUCUCCUUAACAAAGGAACAUGUAAUGCCUCUAAUGAUGAGCAAUUCUGUGCAUUCAAUAUGGAAAGACCUGGAAGCUCUGGCCUCUGGCAAGGAUCGAAGCCUCUAGCAAUAGUUUACAUCCAACUCAACCAAAUUUGAAAGUUUUCUGAUGCUUGGUGAUAUGAACUCAAUAUUGUUUCCACUAAGAUAUAAUUUUCUUAGAAUGGAUAAUGGGCUGAGAUUGUCCAAUGACUUAAUGAUUUGGCAAUCAGAUAGAUCUAGAAACUCAAGAGAGUUCAAACCUGAUAAAAGAAGCAAUACAAUUAGAAAGCUAUAUUCAAAUGUGUUCAGCAUAAUGGCAGUAUUAUUAGAUUUGAGUAUGGUCAACUUACAACUGGUGCUAGGAAGACUCUCAAGGCUUUUGUAACCUCGAAGAUUGAUUAUGGCAAGCUUAGUGAGAUAUUUUUUAGAUGAA